UAGGCUUCCUGUUGCCUCUUUAAUUUUCCUGAACUAUCUGCAUAAAAGUGCACAGGUUAUAGCCCAUGAUGGACUUCUCUCCGAUGGGCUGCCAGGGCUGCAUGGCUGUCUCUUGGAUGCUGCCAGCCUCCACAGCACGACCCCCCUCAAUGCAGAUGGAUGUCAUCUCCUCGUUCCUUCUCCUGAGCUCUGCCACAUCCUCAGCCAUCCGCUGCCGUCCAUAUGCAUCUACUUUCUUCCAAAAGAAUACAUGUACACCAGUGUGAUGAGUCUUACUCAGGCAGACUGAGGUGGAUCUGUGGAGUGGAGAGGCAGUAAAGCAGGAUCAUGCAGCUGGUCAGGAAGGUACCCAGGACCAGGCCUUUGCACAUGGACCGCCACUGCCUCCCUUGCUUGCCAGCCAUGGUCCAGCAGUGUCUAGGAUUACCUGAAAACACAGGACAUCAUCAUCAGGACUGCGGUAAGACGAGCCACCUGCUGACUCAGCUGUACAGGUAACAAACUGACAUUUGCCACCUGGAAUUUGUGACCCGAUGCAGGUCACAGUGGGUCACAUAAUGCAUGGCAGAGUUCUGAGCUAUAUACAUAUGUAGGGCACAUUAUUUUCAGCUUGUUCGAGAACUUGUUGUUAUCUGGUGCAACCAAUGGUGGACAAAAUAUUUAGAUUCUUUACUUCAAUAAAAGCAGCAAUAUUAAAAUUUGUUGGUCCUCUGCUACUAAAGUAAAAGUAUUUAAGUAUUAUAACCAAAAUAUACUUAAGGUAUCAAAAGUAAGAGUACUCAUCCUGCAGCAAAAUGGCCCCUGUGACUGAUAUACUUUUACUUUUGUGGCUGCUUGAGGUAGAGCGAGUUUUAAAAACACUUAAGUUUAGUUCAGUGGUUCACAAUCUAAAGGUUUGGCCCCAAUGAUCACAGAAGAAUCUGAAUAGCUGUGAGAUGAAAAAGGGGGGGAAUAUCAAAGUUCAGACACAAAAAAUAAUAUUUUUUACAAUUAUAGUUAGAUUUAUUUUUUUUUAACCCCUUUGGACCUCAAAACAGUUGUUUAUUACAAUCUGAGAAGUCUUCAAGUCUUCAAAGGAAAUGAUUUGCACUAGACAUGAAAUGUAACAAGGGACCCCAUCCAGACACUGCCUACUGGUCAAAUCUCAAACAAUUCAUUUUAAGUUAUGGUCUUUUUUAAACACAGUUUUUGGUAAAAUCUUAGUCUGCAUUGCAACAAGUAAUUACAGCUGUCAAAUAAUAAGAUGCACAUUAUAUGUAUUAUAUAUACAAUAUUGCACAUAAUAUUUCCCUCUGAAAUGUAGAGGAGUGUAAAGUAACAUACUUGAAUAGAUGCACUUACUUACUUUCUACCAUUGAGAGCAACAAGAAGUGUAGAGUGAAAGUGACAUACAGAUGAAAUGGCAGAUUAGCUAUUAGCUAUUUCAACUGCAUUAUUACUAGAGAUGGGAAUUUUGUUCAACAUUGUAGCUUCAGAACAGUUCUGUAACUCACUAUGUUACUAUUUUGAAGUCAGAAGACAGAAAAUCUGAGAUACAGGAUUCAAAUUAAACCCAAUUUUUCCUUGUACCAUUUGUGUGUGUCUGUGUCUGUAGCUGGUCGUGUCGUCCAUCAUCUGAUAAGCAGUUUGGGGCAUUUCCCUCCUUCU
Long non-coding RNA from Lates calcarifer (barramundi perch), 1647 nucleotides. RefSeq lists it as uncharacterized. NCBI's taxonomy places the organism in Eukaryota, Metazoa, Chordata, Actinopteri, Centropomidae. The transcript has 4 exons. The record is from RefSeq and is a predicted model, not a curated record.